UACGAAGGGGACUAGCGUUGUUCGGAAUCACUGGGCGUAAAGCGCACGUAGGCGGAUGUGUCAGUCAGGGGUGAAAUCCCGGGGCUCAACCUCGGAACUGCCUUUGAUACAGCACGUCUCGAGUCCGGAAGAGGUGGGUGGAAUUCCUAGUGUAGAGGUGAAAUUCGUAGAUAUUAGGAAGAACACCGGUGGCGAAGGCGGCUUACUGGUCCGGUUCUGACGCUGAGGCGCGAAAGCGUGGGGAGCAAACAGG
Molecule: ribosomal RNA, 253 nt
Filed under: uncultured bacterium
Lineage: Bacteria
Description: partial 16S ribosomal RNA
Rfam family: Bacterial small subunit ribosomal RNA
Source: RNAcentral